GAUGAAGAACGUAGCGAAAUGCGAUACGUAAUGUGAAUUGCAGAAUUCAGUGAAUCAUCGAAUCUUUGAACGCACAUUGCGCCUGCCAGCACUCUGGCAGGCAUGCCUGUUCGAGCGUCAUUUCAACCAUCAAGCCCUAGGCUUGCGUUGGAGCCCUGCGGCUGCCGCAGGCCCCUAAAAGCAGUGGCGGGCUCGCUAUCACACCGAGUGCAGUAGAUUACUCUUCGCUCAGGGCGUGUGGCGGGUUCCAGCCGUGAAACCCCCUACUUCUCAAGGUUGACCUCGGAUCAGGUAGGAAUACCCGCUGAACUUAAGCAUAUCGAUAAGCGGAGGA
RNAcentral lists this unclassified non-coding RNA (334 nucleotides) under soil metagenome. Its description in RNAcentral is "partial contains 5.8S ribosomal RNA, internal transcribed spacer 2, and large subunit ribosomal RNA". The stretch from base 1 to 120 matches the Rfam family "5.8S ribosomal RNA", at positions 35 to 154 of the family's 154-position model. The record is from RNAcentral.